GAUGAAGAACGUAGCGAAAUGCGAUACGUAAUGUGAAUUGCAGAAUUCAGUGAAUCAUCGAAUCUUUGAACGCAUAUUGCGCUCUCUGGUAUUCCGGAGAGCAUGCUUGUUUGAGUAUCAGUAAACACCUCAACUCCCUUUUCUUUUUUGAAAUGGGAGCUGGACUUGAGUGAUCCCAACACUUUUCUCACUGGAAAGUGGCGGGUCACUUAAAAUGCAGGUGCAGCUGGACUUUUCUCUGAGCUAUAAGCAUAUCUAUUUAGUCUGCCUAAAAAACAGAUUAUUACCUUUGCUGCAGCUAACAUAAAGGAGAUGAGUUCUUGUGUUGACUGAUGCAGGAUUCACAGAGACAGCUUUGCGGCUGACUUUGUAAACUCGAUCUCAAAUCAAGUAAGACUACCCGCUGAACUUAAGCAUAUCAAUAAGCGGAGGA
RNAcentral lists this unclassified non-coding RNA (433 nucleotides) under soil metagenome. Its description in RNAcentral is "partial contains 5.8S ribosomal RNA, internal transcribed spacer 2, and large subunit ribosomal RNA". The stretch from base 1 to 120 matches the Rfam family "5.8S ribosomal RNA", at positions 35 to 154 of the family's 154-position model. The record is from RNAcentral.